Non-coding RNA from Lactuca sativa (garden lettuce), 2513 nucleotides. NCBI's taxonomy places the organism in Eukaryota, Viridiplantae, Streptophyta, Magnoliopsida, Asterales, Asteraceae. The record is from RefSeq and is a predicted model, not a curated record.
GGUAAAGAGAAUAUGACUUCCAUGUCGAUAGGAUAGAUGGCUUAAUUUCAAUGAGUGAAGCCAGCCAAAAUUGGCCCUUCUUUAAUGAUAAGGUAAACUUUGAAUUCCAUGUCUUCUUCAACUUUGCCUAGAAGCCUCUAAGUGCUAACACUACAAAGACCAAGAAUUUUGUGCAUCGUUUAGAGGUAACUAAGCUUCCAUUAAAAUGGAAAAUGUCGACGUAGAACUUGGAGAUGUAGACAAUAUCCGUGACACUGUCCAUAUACUUCUUGGUUGUGUCCAAAAAGUGCUGAAUGGUAAGGUGCAAUUUUCACCCAUUUACAUGGCUCCAACUAGGCUCCGAAAUCUCAGUCCCAAUUCUUUCAAUCCACGAGUGGUUUCUAUUGGACCUCUGCACAAAGAAGAUAAAAGCCUGCAAAUAACUGAAGGAGAGAAAUAUACUUAUCUGCAUGAUCUAUUGUCCCGUUUAGAUUCCCCACCUGAGCAAACACUGAAAGCAUGUGCAAAGAAGGUGAAUGCUUCAAUAGAUCGAAUCAGAGCAUGUUACAACGGGAUGAAGACCUAUAGUGACGUCGACCUUGCCAAAAUAAUGGUUAUGGAUGCUUGUUUCAUACUAGAAUUCAUUUUCAAGCUUUUCCGAUAUGGCACAUCAAUUACCUACAACCGAUUGUUUGUCAGGUCUGUUGCUCUAGACCUCGUGUUGAUAGAAAAUCAGAUGCCUUUCUUUGUUCUUCAAGACAUAUUUGAGUGCACUAUUUUGAAAAUGGAUCCAGAAGCCUCCCUUACAACUAUGCUUAGUUAUUUACUAGAAUACAUCAAUCCCUUUUCAGGGAACUUUAAUAUCGAAAAUAUUGGCCAAGAAACAACUCAUGAUCAUAUUCUAGGCCUUCUUCACAAACUUUACCUGCCUUCACAUCCUAAGCCAUCAAACGUUUCCUCACUUCCAAUAGCUCACUCAGCUCUAGAACUCUACAGGGCUGGAGUGAAAUUUCAGCCUAAUAGAAAUAUGACUUGGCCAUUGGCCAUGGACCUGAAAUUCUGUAACUGUAAGCAUCCAAUCUUUUCCUUGUUUGGGGCUAAGCCAAAUCUCAGUAUUCCAGUAAUCUGUAUAAACGAUGUCACCGAGGUGGUUUUGAGGAACCUGAUUGUAUACGAGCAAUACACUCCAGUUUAUAAUUACGUGACCUCAUAUGCCAUGGCAAUGAAUAUGCUAGUUGAUACUCCGGUGGAUAUUUGCAAGUUGGUAGAAUCGAAAGUUGUUAUAAACCAUUUAGGUUCAAAUGAAAAGGCUGCGAAAAUGAUGAACACAAUAUGCAAAGAAGUUACUUUUCAAGAUUUCUAUUACACUGAACAGUGGGAAAACAUGGAUAGAUACUACAACGGUUACUUUCCUAGAAAUCUAGCUAAGUUGAAGAGGUACUAUUUCAGUGGUCCAUGGCAUGUCAUUGUCCUAGUUGGUGGAAUUCUGAUGUUUGCUAUUACUGUGGUUCAAACCAUCUUUACUAUCAAACCUACUUGAUCCCAUAUUUGCUUUGGAGCAGAGAGAACCACCAAGUACUAUAGUUGUUUUCACUUUGGUAUUCUUUAUAGGAUCAGCCAAUAAUACAAAGAAAAAGUCUAUAUAUCAUAGAUCUAUUUCAUUAAAGUGCUAUCUAGAUUAGGUCACGGUCCCCUACCUUUUUCAUCAUCAUGACCACCGACGGUAGCUCCUCCUCUUCUUCAUCUGAUUAUUUUCUUUCUCUUGCGACUAUACUUAAUAUGAUUAGUGUUAAACUCUCUCCUACCAACUUGUUUAUAUGGCGAAACCAGAUGCUUCCCCUUCGUGUAUAUCAGAAGUUGAAUGGCCAUGUUAUGAGCGUCAUUGUCACCCCACCCAAAACCAAAGAUGUUCUCGAAAAAUGGUUCGAAUCAUAUCCACGUCCCUAUCUCAUCACUAUCUUAUCAUUCAGAUAUAUUUAUUAGAGACUGCCAUUUAUCGCUAAAACACUAGGUCUAACCAUUUCUCAUGAGGUUUGGAAAUCUCUUAAAACCUAACUUAUCGUCAGGAUUUAACAGGGACAAAUGGAAACUCUAAAAGAUACUCUUCGACAUUUCAAGAAGGGUUCCUCUACUAUCUCUGAAUAAGGUACUAAAUACAAAGCUACCUGUUACAGCUUGCUACUAUUGGUCACCAAGUUGAUGACAUCGAUAAGAUUCACUGGUUUCUUUGUGGACUUGGUUCUUCUUUUGAGACACCACUCCACUUGCUAUUUCUUUCACUACUCAAUGCCAACAUUCUUCAUGUACUUCUUUGAUGGGAUUUAUUACACUCUAUACAUACUAGUUUAUGCAGCUGAAAACUAAUUAAACCAUAUGUGUACAUGCAUCCUAUGGAUCUAGGUUUUAGUAUUAUAGCAAUCUACUUUAAAACUAGAAAAACACUAACCUGUUGAUCUUCUUGGUUUCUUCAUUGAGAUCUCGUGACAACCACUAUUUUAGGGAUAAUGAGGACGCAAACCAUGAAUCUCUCUUUU